Molecule: ribosomal RNA, 465 nt
Filed under: Vreelandella stevensii
Lineage: Bacteria; Pseudomonadati; Pseudomonadota; Gammaproteobacteria; Oceanospirillales; Halomonadaceae
Description: partial 16S ribosomal RNA
Rfam family: Bacterial small subunit ribosomal RNA
Source: RNAcentral
CCUACGGGGGGCAGCAGUGGGGAAUAUUGGACAAUGGGCGAAAGCCUGAUCCAGCCAUGCCGCGUGUGUGAAGAAGGCCUUCGGGUUGUAAAGCACUUUCAGUGGGGAAGAAAGCCUUGGGGCUAAUACCCUCGAGGAAGGACAUCACCCACAGAAGAAGCACCGGCUAACUCCGUGCCAGCAGCCGCGGUAAUACGGAGGGUGCGAGCGUUAAUCGGAAUUACUGGGCGUAAAGCGCGCGUAGGCGGUCUGAUAAGCCGGUUGUGAAAGCCCCGGGCUCAACCUGGGAACGGCAUCCGGAACUGUCAGGCUAGAGUGCAGGAGAGGAAGGUAGAAUUCCCGGUGUAGCGGUGAAAUGCGUAGAGAUCGGGAGGAAUACCAGUGGCGAAGGCGGCCUUCUGGACUGACACUGACGCUGAGGUGCGAAAGCGUGGGUAACAAACAGGAUUAGAUACCCGAGUAGUC